Molecule: small nuclear RNA, 164 nt
Organism: Carassius carassius (crucian carp)
Lineage: Eukaryota; Metazoa; Chordata; Actinopteri; Cypriniformes; Cyprinidae
Product: U1 spliceosomal RNA
Exons: 1
Source: RefSeq, a predicted model, not a curated record
AUACUUAGCUGGCAUGGGAGACACCAUGAUCAAGAAGGUGGUCUACCCAGGGCUUGGCUCGGCCAUUGCACUCUGGCCAUGCUGACCCCUGAGAAUUCCCCAAAUGUGGUAAUUUCAACUGCAUAAUUUAUGGUAGUUGGGCACUGUGUUCGUGCUCUCCCCUU